CCUACGGGUGGCAGCAGUGGGGAAUAUUGCACAAUGGGCGCAAGCCUGAUGCAGCCAUGCCGCGUGUGUGAAGAAGGCCUUCGGGUUGUAAAGCACUUUCAGCGGGGAGGAAGGCGUUAAGGUUAAUAACCUUGUCGAUUGACGUUACCCGCAGAAGAAGCACCGGCUAACUCCGUGCCAGCAGCCGCGGUAAUACGGAGGGUGCAAGCGUUAAUCGGAAUUACUGGGCGUAAAGCGCACGCAGGCGGUCUGUCAAGUCGGAUGUGAAAUCCCCGGGCUCAACCUGGGAACUGCAUUCGAAACUGGCAGGCUAGAGUCUUGUAGAGGGGGGUAGAAUUCCAGGUGUAGCGGUGAAAUGCGCAGAUACCGGAAGGAACGCCAAUAGCGAAGGCAGCUACCUGGACGACUUGUGACGCUGAGGCGCGAAAGCGUGGGGAGCAAACCGGAUUAGAUACCCUAGUAGUC
This 465-nucleotide ribosomal RNA is filed under the name uncultured Klebsiella sp. RNAcentral's name for it is "bacterial SSU rRNA". It matches the Rfam family "Bacterial small subunit ribosomal RNA", at positions 338 to 795 of the family's 1533-position model. The record is from RNAcentral. Lineage: Bacteria; Pseudomonadati; Pseudomonadota; Gammaproteobacteria; Enterobacterales; Enterobacteriaceae.